Ailuropoda melanoleuca (giant panda) is the source of this 107-nucleotide small nuclear RNA. The record is from Ensembl. Lineage: Eukaryota; Metazoa; Chordata; Mammalia; Carnivora; Ursidae.
GCUUCCUUCAGCAGCACCUAUUCUAAAAAAUUGGAAUGAUUCAGAGAAGAUUAGCAUGGCCCCUGUGCAAGGAGGACAUGCAAAUUUGUGAAGCAUUCCAUUAAAAA